CUUAAGUAUAGAGUUUAACUGUGUCAUUUUUAUUAGCAGGAUAUUCUAUCAGCAGAAAAGUUCAAAAAGCUGACUGAAUAACCCCUCUCACGUCAGUAAGGACGAAGUAAUACGGACAAUGUUCUCUCUGGUCACGUAUCCUUCAUGAAAUGUAAAUAAAUACUAGGAUGUGAAGCAUGUACUUCUGCAGAAUACAGCGUUGUCUGGAAAUAGACUCUUGCCAGUUACAGCUGUAAUGGAGAAAGCAAACCUUUCAACACUGUUCUUCUGUUGGCUGCUUUGAAAAUGUUUGUGGAAGUGCUUUGCCAGUCAGCAUAAGGCUUCAGGCAUCCUUGUAAUGUAAUAGCUGAUGGAGUUAUACACAGCCAUUGUUUGUGGCAGGUGACAGCACAGCUUUGCAUUAAUAUCAGGUAUUUGCAGACAGUGGCAGUUGGAAUUGCUUGGCCCAGAAAGAAAUUGUUGCUCUGCCAAAAGCAACAAGGAACCUUCUGAUGACUACAGCAGUACCAAAAGUUUGAUUCAGGAUAUUGCUGUCUUCUGGAGAAACAACAUAUCUCAGCUUGCUGGAGCUACUACCAGGUCAUGCAACACCAGGCAAGUUCAAAUAUAAAAGCAAACUUAAGAAAGCAAAUUGAUUGUAUAGCAACAAAGAAUUAAGCUCUUGAUUAC
This 669-nucleotide long non-coding RNA is filed under the name Anser brachyrhynchus (Pink-footed goose). RNAcentral describes it as "lncRNA (ENSABRG00000002893.1)". The record is from RNAcentral. Lineage: Eukaryota; Metazoa; Chordata; Aves; Anseriformes; Anatidae.